GCACCUGCGGCGUGCCUAAUACAUGCAAGUCGAGCGGACAGAUGGGAGCUUGCUCCCUGAUGUUAGCGGCGGACGGGUGAGUAACACGUGGGUAACCUGCCUGUAAGACUGGGAUAACUCCGGGAAACCGGGGCUAAUACCGGAUGCUUGAUUGAACCGCAUGGUUCAAUUAUAAAAGGUGGCUUUUACCUACCACUUACAGAUGGACCCGCGGCGCAUUACCUAUUUGGUGAGGUAACGGCUCACCAAGGCAACAAUCCGUACCCAACCUGAAAGGGUGAUCGGCCACACUGGGACUGAAACACGGCCCAAACUCCUACGGGAGGCACCAUUAGGGAAUCUUCCGCAUUGGACAAAAGUCUGACGGACCACCCCCCCGGGAGUGAUGAAGGUUUUCGAAUCGUAAAACUCUGUUGUUAGGGAAAAACAAUUCCCGUUCGAAUAGGGCGGUCCCUUGACGGUCCCUAACCAAAAAGCCACGGCUAACUACUUGCCACC
Molecule: ribosomal RNA, 498 nt
Filed under: Bacillus sp. AG07-18
Lineage: Bacteria; Bacillati; Bacillota; Bacilli; Caryophanales; Bacillaceae
Description: bacterial SSU rRNA
Rfam family: Bacterial small subunit ribosomal RNA
Source: RNAcentral